UACAGAGGUCUCGAGCGUUAGGCGGAAUCAUUGGGCUUAAAGCGUGUGUAGGCGGAUCGUUUAGUACCUUGUGAAAUCCCACGGCUUAACCGUGGAAUUGCUGGGUAUACUGGCGAUCUUGAGCCACUUAGGGGCUACCGGAACAAAUGGUGGAGCGGUGAAAUGCGUAGAUAUCAUUUGGAACGCCAAUGGUGAAAACAGGUAGCUGGGAGUGUGCUGACGCUGAGACACGAAAGCCAGGGGAGCAAACGGG
RNAcentral lists this ribosomal RNA (253 nucleotides) under uncultured bacterium. RNAcentral describes it as "partial 16S ribosomal RNA". It matches the Rfam family "Bacterial small subunit ribosomal RNA", at positions 524 to 776 of the family's 1533-position model. The record is from RNAcentral.